CUAGCAUACAUUAUACAGCAGACACCACACUAGCCUUCUCAU
RNAcentral lists this transfer RNA (42 nucleotides) under Aspidoscelis gularis. Its description in RNAcentral is "partial tRNA-Ala". Lineage: Eukaryota; Metazoa; Chordata; Lepidosauria; Squamata; Teiidae. The record is from RNAcentral.